This 458-nucleotide ribosomal RNA is filed under the name uncultured bacterium. RNAcentral describes it as "partial 16S ribosomal RNA". It matches the Rfam family "Bacterial small subunit ribosomal RNA", at positions 29 to 507 of the family's 1533-position model. The record is from RNAcentral.
AACGAACGCUGGCGGCAUGCCUAACACAUGCCAGUCGAACGAGACCUUCGGGUCUAGUGGCGCACGGGUGCGUAACGCGUGGGAACCUGCCCUUAGGUUCGGAAUAACUCCCCGAAAGGGGUGCUAAUACCGGAUAAUGUCUUCGGACCAAAGAUUUAUCGCCUUUGGAUGGGCCCGCGUUGGAUUAGCUAGUUGGUAGGGUAAAAGCCUACCAAGGCGACGAUCCAUAGCUGGUCUGAGAGGAUGAUCAGCCACACUGGGACUGAGACACGGCCCAGAGUCCUAGGGGAGGCAGGAGUGGGGAAUAUUGGACGAUGGGGGGAAGCCUGAUCCAGCCAUACCGCGUGGGUGAAGAAGGCCUUCGGGUUGUAAAGCCCUUUUGUUGGGAAAGAAAAGCAGCAGGUUAAUACCCCGCUGUUCUGACGGUACCCAAAGAAUAAGCACCGGCUAACUUCGUG